UCUGCCAUAGGAAGCUUGGAGUGG
Molecule: microRNA, 24 nt
Filed under: Homo sapiens (human)
Lineage: Eukaryota; Metazoa; Chordata; Mammalia; Primates; Hominidae
Description: hsa-miR-6817-5p
Source: miRBase by way of RNAcentral